RNAcentral lists this ribosomal RNA (253 nucleotides) under uncultured bacterium. RNAcentral's name for it is "partial 16S ribosomal RNA". It matches the Rfam family "Bacterial small subunit ribosomal RNA", at positions 524 to 776 of the family's 1533-position model. The record is from RNAcentral.
UACGGAGGAGGCAAGCGUUAUCCGAAAUUAUUGGGCGUAAAGCGUCCGCAGGUGGCACUUCAAGUCUGUCGUCAAAGACUGGGGCUUAACCCUGGAAAGGCGGUGGAAACUGAAGCGCUAGAGUGCGGUAGGGGUAGAGGGAAUUCCCGGUGUAGCGGUGAAAUGCGUAGAGAUCGGGAAGAACAUCGGUGGCGAAAGCGCUCUACUGGACCGCAACUGACACUCAGGGACGAAAGCUAGGGGAGCGAAUGGG